This 814-nucleotide non-coding RNA is filed under the name Gramastacus insolitus. RNAcentral describes it as "12S ribosomal RNA". The stretch from base 405 to 807 matches the Rfam family "Microsporidia small subunit ribosomal RNA", at positions 751 to 1303 of the family's 1311-position model. Lineage: Eukaryota; Metazoa; Arthropoda; Malacostraca; Decapoda; Parastacidae. The record is from RNAcentral.
AGAAAGUUUGAUUCUUGCUUAGGUUUCUAUUUUAUAAUUAAAGAUUACAUGCGAGUUUUGACAAAAGUUAUGGAGUUAAAUAUUUUGUAAUUUUUAAGGUGAAUUUAAGUGCCAGCAUGCAGUAAAAAAUAUUAAAUAUUGAGUUUCAGCUUGAUUUGGUGAAUUAUAAAAAAUCUGAUUAAAUUUUGUGCCAGCAAUCGCGGUUAGACUAAAAGGUUAAGUAGAAAUUUGUCAGUUAGAGUUAUUUUGGGUUGAGGUUUAUUUAAAUCUGAAAAAAUAAAAGGUAAAAUUAAUUUAUUACAAGGUAGAUUGAAAUAAAUUUUUAAAAAUAAAAGAAGCUCAUAAGGUUGAGGUAUAAACUAGGAUUAGAGACCCUACUAUACUCAGAUGGAAAUUGUAAAACUGGAAUAUUAAUAGAUAGACUCUUUAAAUUUAAAGAAUUUGGCGGUAUUUUAGUCUAGUUAGAGGAACCUGUUUUAUAAAUUGAUACAACACGUAAUAUCUUACUAAUUUUAUUAAAAGUUUGUAUACCGUCAUUAUUAGAUAAUUUUUAUAGAAUAAAUUAUUGAAACUAAAAGAUUAAAUAUAUUAGAUCAAGGUGCAGCCUAUAAGUUAGGGAGAAUGGGUUACAAUAAAAUUUAUUUAAACGGAUUGACGGAUGAAAAUAGUCAUGAAGGUGGAUUUAAUUGUAAUAGAAGUUUAAUAAGUUUUUAUGGUAUAAGCACUAAAUUAUGUACAUAUUGCCCGUCGCUUCCAUUUAAAGUGGAAUAAGUCGUAACAUAGUAGGUGUAUUGGAAAAUGUACCUAGAAGUAG